GCUCCGGUGGCCUAGUGGUUAGAGCUUCCGCCUCUCAUGCAAGGGGUCGUUGGUUCGAUCCCAGAUUGAGUCA
This is a non-coding RNA of Potamilus streckersoni, 73 nucleotides long. The record is from the annotation of a GenBank genome assembly. Lineage: Eukaryota; Metazoa; Mollusca; Bivalvia; Unionida; Unionidae.